Molecule: RNA transcript, 4840 nt
Organism: Monodelphis domestica (gray short-tailed opossum)
Lineage: Eukaryota; Metazoa; Chordata; Mammalia; Didelphimorphia; Didelphidae
Source: RefSeq, a predicted model, not a curated record
GAGGAAUACGAAAAUGAAUAAGAUACAUCCCCUGCUCCAAAGGAGUUUGUACUUUAUCAGAAGAAAUAGGAAUUGAUAUAUCUAGUAAUAGUACCAGUAAGAAAAAGAGAAGGGGCAGAGUUAGGCACAAAAUUUGAAAGUUCAGUGGAGAGGGAUUUAUGUUUAUCUAUAAAGUGGUUUCCAAAAAGUUUUCACUUUUUUUUAUCUCCUUUGAUCCUCAUAACUGUCCUAUAAAGUAUAUAAUGAGGCAGCUAGGUGGCACAGCAGAUAAAGUGCCAGACCUGGAGUCAGGAAGACAAGACCUCAGACACUUACUGUGUGUGACCCUAGUUAAGUCACUUAACCUGUUUAUUUCAAUUUCCUUAUCUGUAAAAUGAGCUGGAGAAGGAAAUAGAAAACCAUUCUAGUAUCUUUUCCAAGAAAAAAACUUUUUAAAAAGGGGUCACAAGGAGUGAUACAUGCCUAAAAAUAACUGAACAACAAUACUAUAUUAUGGUCAUUUUAAAUUCACACACAUAAACUUAUAUUUCAAUCUAUUAGACAUACACAAGCUCCACAAAUGUCUUUAGUAAUUCUAGUUAUCAAAUCAGUAUCUCUCUCCCACACAGGGUAACAAAUAUCUUCUAUCUUCCCUUAAGAGAAUGGAAGUAAGAUUGGACUGAAAUGGUCACGAUGUCAAUGCUUGCCAAAAGACAGAAACCUUUGUUUAAAGGACUGAUGAAGGGUUGCUUUUCUGUGUAAUAACAAAAUGGCCAGGACAGGACUAUUUCUGAGGCCAUCAUAAACUGCUGGUGGCACCACUCUGAUCCAUGGUUAGCUGGUACUCUGUGGUGUCAUAAUGACUUCAGGUUUCUAAUUGGAGAGAGAUGCUUGCAAAUAGUGUCAGGAUACGCAUCCAGCUUUUCCUUUAUUCCCAGGGCACAAAUCUUUGGGAAGAGACUGGCAUUAUUCUGGAUACUUUUUUUUUUCUAUUUUGCUUUAGCCCUGAUAUUUACUCAUCAGAGAUCAACCCUUCUUUGUAGAAGAAUGGUUACCAUAAUCACAAAAUAGAGGUGGAUAGGGGACCUUGAUCUUAGAAACCUCUGAAAUACAGUGUUUAUUGCUGUUCCUCAAGCUCUGACUGGAAAACCCUUCAGGAGUUGAAUGGGAAGUAAAAAGAGAAUUCUUCCAAAAGUUGUAGUCUAGUUCCCUGAAAAAGACCACCUUCCAAUGACUGAGUCAAGGUUACUAUGUUCAAAUCAUCAGAUUUCAUCAUUUUUGAAAAAAGACCAUCAGUUCAGAGUCAACCAAAUGCCCACUUUAAUCUAGCCAGAGCUAAGUCCCUUCCAGCUCAAAGGGUCACACUUGGGCCACAAUCUCAGGAAAACAGAAGAACAACUGAGCAGCUGCCUGAUCCUGGAAACCAGAAAAUGGCUGCACUAUUAGCCUAUCUUGACAAUGGGAAGAUGUUUAAACCACCCAUAUCCCAGAAGUACCAUUAUAUGGCCAUAGGUUUGCCUACAAUGUGUCAGGAGCACCAGCCUAAGGGAAUUUCUCUGCCUUUGCCAACCCAAAAAAGAAGGAUAACACCUUUACUCAGACUUAAUCACUGUGCUCAAACUCUAUUGAAACCUAUCACCUGGGCAGAAAAUUCCUUAGGCCAUAACCAGCCUCCAGGGUACCCAUCAGACUUGAACCUACAUCCCAUGCCUGCAUCAACAUCGAUCAAUAAAAAUAGGUUUGAGGUUCCAUUUUUUCCCCACUCCAAGGAUAGAACUAUAGCUAAACCACUGAUACUCCGUAAUUACAAAGCUGAAACUUUUAUGAGUCUCAAGCCCUGCGUUGGUACUACACCUCACCUGAGCAGCUCAAACAAGGACUAAAUAACAUCAUUGCCACAUCUGACCAUUGGUAAAGGGCCGGAUCUGUGAAAAACUCGCAUCUGAACUGCUCAGCCAAGGCUUUAGGUUUGAAUUUAUCACAGCCUCACCACUACCUCAGAGCCAGGGCUAUGUCUUCAUUACAAACCAAUCUCAAUGGCAAGGCCACAAUUCCAUGUUCUUCAAAGCCCCACCAAUUGAGUACCGCAGCAUCUACACUGUCCUUAAGAAGAAGAAUCACAAUUAUGCCAUCAUUAAGUCCUAAACUCCUAUCCAGGACAAAGCAAUGCCAUCACUAGGCAUUGAACCCUGGGCCAAGCCUCAGAUUAUUUAUCACGCCAUGGCCAAUGAACUUACUUUUAUGACCUGACCACAUGGCAAAGGAUCCACAGAGACUGUAUAAGUCUUAAGGGCAUAUUUGCAUCAUUACCAUCUCCUGACCCUCAUGAUGUACCUUCAUCAGACACCUCCCCCUGGGAUAAGGCUGAGGUUUCACCAGACCUCAGCCAUCAGAUUAUAUCAUCAGGUACUUCUCACUUGGUAGUUUCACCAAGCUCAAGCCACCAGGAUGAAGCUGUCCAAGUCCUCCACUGCCAGACUUAAACACUUGUUCACAAUUCUCCCAAACUUGGAUUUCCAGGCAGGUUUCCACCAGUUUGGAAUAUACCACCACCACCAUCUGUCCAUCAGGAGGAGGCUACUCUGAACACUACCUCAAUGGCAACAUCCCCAAAGGGCUUUAAAUCCAGGGUUGUAUCUGGAGGCCAGGACAACAGAGUCACAUUAUCACUGCAGGCCAGUUGCUGCCAUAUUUAAUCAGAAGGUCCCAUUUCCAUCCUGCUUAGACCAUCAGACCAGGUAUGGACUGGAUUCUAAUGCUCAGUGAAUACUUUCUCUAGUCUCCAGCAUUUUAUCAACAGAUCCAGUCUCCAAAACACUAGAUAAUAUCUCUAUUGGAGAAUAGAGGACUAAAGACCAAUAUGCUACCAUUUCCUGUGUGUGUCUGACUACUGAGAUUAUAGCAAUACCCAUGGAAGACCUGGAGCAUUGCAAAUCAACUACAUAGUGCCCUGUCUAAAGAAAUUCCUCUGCUACUAGGUCCUAGGCUGUGACUAUUUGAAUAAGCUUGCAUUGAACUUAAACCUUUUAGGUAAGGUGGCUCCUGAAUGCCAAACCAGAUUCAUUCUGUACAGAGAAGAAAGAGAAGUUUUGCAAUAUUUAAAUUCCACCAAACCAUAUGCCAUUGGUAAGAAAACUGUACCUAUUAGAACUGGCAAUAUCAAUAUUAGUUCCAUUACAUUCAAGAAAAUGUUUAAAGUGAUAUCUGCAAGGAGAGCCUCCUGCACUGGAUGAAGGAAUGUCUUUCUCAUUGACCUAGGUGUUGAGUGCCAAGUAGUUGUUUGGCCUUUAAGAUUUGUACCUUGUAGUUGAAUGACCUCUUUAGUUUGAAGCUCUAGGAUCCCAAAUGUCUGUACUCAAGGAAUGGUCUCCUUGAGUUCAAAGUAUUGGUCAAACCAAUACCUCUACCUAGAUCUGAGGAGGAGAUAAGAUAAAAGUCUCAGGUGCAAUUAAUUCAUUUUUAGCUUCUAGUAAUAACAUUCCAAUAUAUGCAUGCCCUAACACUAUUUGCCACCCUUUACAACUUCAUCCAGCUGGGAAUCAGAUUAGUUCCUGAAUCACCCAUUUACUGCCAGCUGCAUGCAGGGAUUGCUAGGAUUUUAUAAUUGGCAAUAUAACCAGCCAUGGUGGAGGAACAUAUAGCAGUCAACAGUCAUCCACAAGAAAAAGGCCUACAUUACUGCACCUUUGGAGAAGAGAGGAGACCUGAAAGGAUUUCCCUAAAUUCUGCUAAAGAAGCUUAAGAGUAAAUUGACUGACCCUGGUUAGCUUAAAUAUUUGUACUCAGUUUUUGUCUUGAAUUAUUCUUUCUAAUCAGACAGGGAAACAUUGACCCUAACUUUUCUUUGGUGUUCAUGAGUAGUUAGUUAUGAACCCUGCUAGGCUUGUAGUGAAGAGUCACCAUGUUAGGGUCAGCUAGGUAGCUCAGCCGAUAAAAGAAAUAGGCCUGGAGAUGGAAGGUCUUAGAUUAAAAUUUAGCCUCAGACUUCCUAGCUGUGGGACCCUUGAAAAGUACUUAAUUCCAAUGACCUUGCCCUUAACACUCUUCAGCUUAACUGAUAUUUAGCAUCAGUUCUAAGAUGGAAGGUAAGGGUUUUAAACUUUUUAAAAAGUCUCCAUUUACACUUCUCCUCAGUUUCCCUCUCUGAUUCUUUUGCCAAAUUUUCAGCUAAUUACUAAAACUGGUACUUUGCCCAUAUGCCUUGCUAUCCCCAUAUCUCCUAAUUAUAUGGAUCUAUUUACCCAAAUCAGUGGAAAUGACUCAUGUUUCUAUAUUUCAGAUCAGAGCAUGUCAGCUCCCUACUUGAUAGUUUUCAGUGACUCCCUAUUACUUCCAGGAGAAAAAGUAUAAGAUCCCUUGACUUCCACAAUUUGGACUCCUCCUUACUUUUUCAGUCUUCCUACAUUUUAUUCCCCUGCUCGUAGCUCUGAUCUCAUUGCACCGGCUGACUUGCUCUUCUGAAAACACAAUUCCAUGCCUUUAAUGCUCUUUACUCAUUUCUGCCUCUUAUAUUUCUGGUUUCCUUCAAAACUCAGAUCAUUGCUAACAUCUACCAGAAGACCUUUCCUAUUUCUUGCCUGUGUGGAAUAAAAAUUAGUAAUUAGUAGUGCAUUAUUCACAAUUAUGGUUAGCAUUAGGAUUAAUAGUGGUGGUGAUAAUUUCUGUUCAAUUAUGCCUAUAACUCUCCUAUAUAGAUCAGUUCAGCUAGGCCCUUCAGGGAAGAGAGAAAAGAAGCCUCUCUCUACAUAACAAAUAGUAGAGAUGUCCUCUCCCUGAAGUGAAUAGACCCUUCCCCCAUCUGAGACCCUUCUGAUUAUUAGUACUUUAAAAGUGGCCAGACAAACCAUUUUCUUUUUCUUUC